Molecule: transfer RNA, 75 nt
Filed under: Pararhodospirillum photometricum DSM 122
Lineage: Bacteria; Pseudomonadati; Pseudomonadota; Alphaproteobacteria; Rhodospirillales; Rhodospirillaceae
Description: tRNA-Val
Source: RNAcentral
AGCGUUCCGAAGGGGCUGGGGAGCUUGAAACUUUUUUUGCAAAAAACCUCUUGCCAGCCCCACGCUGGAUGAGUA